GCUGAUAUUUUUUAUUAUGAAUAAGGCUUAAUGACAAGUGGAACAGGCUCCUGACUAUUCAGAGCUUGAGAUACAUUAGCUGUGGUUGUAUUUUGCUGUUUAUUUUAAGUAGAAACCAAUUAUAUAAUUAAAACCUAACUAUGUCCUUUUGAGGCAAGGAUAAAUUAAUGAAUAACUAAUCUUAUAAAAAACAAAAUUGCAGUUUAUUAUCAAUACAUGAUAUUCAGUUUAUCAUAACAAAUACAUGAUUUUAACAUAUGGAAUAUAUCAAGAAAAAAAUUAAACAAAACAUUAUCAUUAAAAAAACAUUAAUUCUAAUACAAUUUACAUUUGAAUCUGAGCAAGGGUUUCAAACAUUUUCCCUUGACUUCUAAAAAACUUCAAGUAAAUUAUCUGGUGGAAAUUUUGUUAGAUCUUGUUGUUAAUUGUAUACCGGUAUAUCUGUUGCUACUCAACUUCAACUUUGUUACAUUUAUAAUUAAAUCAAAUUAAUAUUUACUAGAGUAAAAACUAUUAUAAAACUCACUAACUACUUCAAAUAAAUAUGUAAUGAUACCCAUUUAUAGGUGGAACAGCCACAAUUCUUUUCAUAACAGACAAUUAUCUGGAAAAAAAUGUUUCCAACACAACUCUAAUUUAUAUGGGUCUUCACAAAAUAAAAUUGUAAAGGAAAAUGGAAAACAAAAUAUUUCAUUCCUAUGGAUAAAUUGUAAGUAAAAAUUCUAAUGAUAUUCAAGGAUAAACUUUCAAAACACUAAAAAUAAUGCAUCAGAAAUGUGAAAUUGCGUAUUUUCAAAUAUAACUCUAUAUCCAUUAAUAUAUGCUGUUGUAUACCAUUUUAGAUAUCUUUUGGUCCAAAUUUUCAAAACAAUUGGAUUGGAUGAAAUUUAGGUAAAUACAAACAUAUAAGGUAUUUUUUUCUUUCUUUCAUUUUCAUGAAAACUAAAUGAUAACUGAUAAUGAGUUAAAAUAUAUUUCAUUGUCUGAUUACAUGAAAUUUGAACAAUUCAUGGAUAGAUUUCUCUAUUUUUCUAUGAUGAUCAUCAAUUUCUUUUCAUCUUAAGUUAACGGAAUUCACAAUUCAGAGAUACAAGAAGGUAAAUAAGAGCCUGAAUUGCUCCUAUGCCAAAUAGAUGCCAAUAAGAUAUUUAUUUUAGUAAAUAUUUUCGUUUUCAAAUACACUGUUUCUUUAGUUCAUUCAAGUGAAUUUAAGGCCAUUAAAUAAUUUUCGCUCUUCAGUGUCUGAAUCACAUUAUUUAUUUGAGCAACAAUCAGGAUAAACAAAUAUUGUCAAGAAACUCUCAAGUUCUCUCCCUUUACCAAAUCAUUUCCUUUUAUUCAAAUUUAUUUCAAAAGCGGACUUUAUAGUAAUAAAUGAUUGUUAUUUUGAUGAUUUGAGUUUUGCUUAUAUUCAAAAUAUAAAUGAUUUUAUUUUCAUUUGAAGGACCUGUAUUUUUUCAUAAUGAUGUAUGUUAUGAAGACAAAAUUGAGAAAAAUUGUAGAGACAAAAGUGAACAAGAAAGUGUCCAAAGUACACAGAUGUCCCACUCAAACCAUCAUUUCUAUGUUCAGUGGACUGUGAAAUUGGGAUCAAAACUCAAAUUUGGCAUUUAAAUUAGAAAGAUCAUAUCACAGAUAACAUGUGUACUAAGUUUCAAGUUGAUUGGACCUCAACUUCAUUAAAAACUACCUUGAACCUGAAAGGGUAUACACGGACAAACCAAGGGACACACAGAUCGAAUAACAUAUUGCCCAAAAAUGGGGCAUAACAAACGUUACCUCAGAAAGCAAAAGAGAUUCUUUCUUUUUUUUUAAAUAUCAAUAGAUUGAAAUUAAUGUCAGACAACAAAUCAUUAAUAUCAUUAAGAUAUUUUACAUUAACAAAAAAAUCCACUGUAUAACUAACGUAUAUUAAUAA
This 1918-nucleotide long non-coding RNA is filed under the name Mytilus galloprovincialis (Mediterranean mussel). Lineage: Eukaryota; Metazoa; Mollusca; Bivalvia; Mytilida; Mytilidae. The record is from RNAcentral.